RNAcentral lists this ribosomal RNA (495 nucleotides) under uncultured bacterium. RNAcentral's name for it is "partial 16S ribosomal RNA". It matches the Rfam family "Bacterial small subunit ribosomal RNA", at positions 28 to 507 of the family's 1533-position model. The record is from RNAcentral.
GACGAACGCUGGCGGCGUGCCUAAUACAUGCAAGUAGAACGCUGAAGGAGGAGCUUGCUUCUCUGGAUGAGUUGCGAACGGGUGAGUAACGCGUAGGUAGCCUGCCUGGUAGCGGGGGAUAACUAUUGGAAACGAUAGCUAAUACCGCAUAAUAGUAGAUGUCGCAUGACAUUUGCUUAAAAGGUGCAAUUGCAUCACUACCAGAUGGACCUGCGUUGUAUUAGCUAGUUGGUGAGGUAACGGCUCACCAAGGCAACGAUACAUAGCCGACCUGAGAGGGUGAUCGGCCACACUGGGACUGAGACACGGCCCAGACUCCUACGGGAGGCAGCAGUAGGGAAUCUUCGGCAAUGGACGGAAGUCUGACCGAGCAACGCCGCGUGAGUGAAGAAGGUUUUCGGAUCGUAAAGCUCUGUUGUAAGAGAAGAACGAGUGUGAGAGUGGAAAGUUCACACUGUGACGGUAUCUUACCAGAAAGGGACGGCUAACUACGUG